AGUGAACGCUGGCGGUAGGCCUAACACAUGCAAGUCGAACGGCAGCACAGUAAGAGCUUGCUCUUACGGGUGGCGAGUGGCGGACGGGUGAGGAAUACAUCGGAAUCUACUUUUUCGUGGGGGAUAACGUAGGGAAACUUACGCUAAUACCGCAUACGACCUACGGGUGAAAGCAGGGGAUCUUCGGACCUUGCGCGACUGAAUGAGCCGAUGUCGGAUUAGCUAGUUGGCGGGGUAAAGGCCCACCAAGGCGACGAUCCGUAGCUGGUCUGAGAGGAUGAUCAGCCACCCUGGAACUGAGACACGGUCCAGACUCCUACGGGAGGCAGCAGUGGGGAAUAUUGGACAAUGGGCGCAAGCCUGAUCCAGCCAUACCGCGUGGGUGAAGAAGGCCUUCGGGUUGUAAAGCCCUUUUGUUGGGAAAGAAAAGCAGCAGGUUAAUACCCCGCUGUUCUGACGGUACCCAAAGAAUAAGCACCGGCUAACUUCGUG
RNAcentral lists this ribosomal RNA (492 nucleotides) under uncultured bacterium. Its description in RNAcentral is "partial 16S ribosomal RNA". It matches the Rfam family "Bacterial small subunit ribosomal RNA", at positions 29 to 507 of the family's 1533-position model. The record is from RNAcentral.